AAUAUUGCACAAUGGGCGCAAGCCUGAUGCAGCCAUGCCGCGUGUAUGAAGAAGGCCUUCGGGUUGUAAAGUACUUUCAGCAGUGAGGAAGGUGGGUAUGUUAAUAGCAUACUCAUUUGACGUUAGCUGCAGAAGAAGCACCGGCUAACUCCGUGCCAGCAGCCGCGGUAAUACGGAGGGUGCGAGCGUUAAUCGGAAUUACUGGGCGUAAAGCGCAUGCAGGUGGUUUGUUAAGUCAGAUGUGAAAGCCCCGGGGCUCAACCUCGGAAUUGCAUUUUGAAACUGGCAAACUAGAGUACUGUAGAGGGGGUAGAAUUUCAGGUGUAGCGGUGAAAUGCGUAGAGAUCUGAAGGAAUACCGGUGGCGAAGGCGGCCCCCUGGACAGAUACUGACACUCAGAUGCGAAAGCGUGGGGAGCAAACAGGAUUAGAUACCCUCGUAG
RNAcentral lists this ribosomal RNA (442 nucleotides) under uncultured bacterium. RNAcentral's name for it is "bacterial SSU rRNA". It matches the Rfam family "Bacterial small subunit ribosomal RNA", at positions 360 to 793 of the family's 1533-position model. The record is from RNAcentral.